AGAACUCUGCGGUUUUGUGGAGCUCGAGAGUCCGGGACAAGGUAGACGCAGGAUAUUGACCUUUUUAUUUUUAACUGCAUUUUCAGUUUGGAGGUUGUAAAAUAGGUAUAACAUUUAAGAAAAAAAAUUGAAAGGUGAGUGGAGGGAAAACCCGUAACUCCUUAAACUUUAAAAACUUAUUUCUCUGUUCCCUUAUUUAUUUUAUUUAUUUAUUUAUUUAUUUAUUUAUUUAUUUUGCCGAGUGCUGCCAAUUCUUUGAAAAUAUGAAGCUGGAUGUGGUGGGAAGAACAAGCGUUUUGGCACAAAAAGAUGAUUAAUUGGAUAAACUAUAAAUGGAAAAUGUGGGUGGGCGCUGCAAUUUAGAGGCUUGGGGUCUACUACCUGGUGAAAGGAUUAACAUGGGAAGCUAGUUACGUUUUUGUUUCUUGAGUAUCUUCUGUAAUUAUGGAACUAAAGCCUAUCUGGAAGAGACACAGCUGGUGUAUAUGUAUGGUCCACCAUUCUCUUUAUUAUGUGAGUUCAGUUUUAAUUUAUGCAUUUCAUCUAGUAUGACAUAAACGUUUCCACGCUGCUUCCUCACAAUUUUAACAUUUAAUGGUGAGAUAAAAUUCCAUCCAUUAUUGAUGCCUCAGCCAAAGUAAUUGUCCCUCUGCUGCACAAUGCAAAGUUUUUAAGUUUUACUAUGAAAAUAAUAUUGUAAAGAGUAUCUUUUGUGUGUUUGGCUUUUUAAAUCUGUUGAAUUAUUUUGUUUGUAUAAUUUUCCUGAACUAGGAAUUUGGGGUCAAAAUAUUCCAAAACAUUUUAAUAACUAUAAAUGAUGUUGCUUUCCAAAAUGAACAAGCUUACAGCACUAUCAGAAUACACAACACCAAACCAUACCAUUUUUUUUCCUUUAAAUUCUUUGGUAUGAAAUGUUACCCCUAGGUAACUAUACUUAUAAUUCUUUGGUUACUAUCAAGAUCUGAUGUCUUUCUUGUGUUUCUAAACUAUCUCUGUGUCCUCUGAUGUAAAUUCUUUGUUUAUAUAUUUAUGUUUUGCAUAUGAAUUUGAAUAAUAUAUUUAUAAAUAAGUAACAUUAGCCUUUGCCAUAUUUUAUGCUAUUGCUUUUCCCAUUCUCUUGUCUCUCUUUUCCUUUUAUUUGUUUCUUUUGCUAUUGCACUUUGUGAGAGGUUUCAUGCUAUUUAGUCAAAUUUAGGUUUUCCGUUACGUGAAUCCUAGAAAGUAAAUACACUGCCAGAAUAUCUUCCAUGUAUUCAUUAAUUCAACAGAUAUCUAUUGGAUGCUGAUGAUUAUGAAACAAAGUAGCAAAGAUAAGAAGCCAUUUGCUCAUUCUGCUCCUUUGCCAGCAAUAUUUCACAAAGCCCCUGACUCAUUGACUGUGAGCAGCCUUGUGGAAGAAUGCCUUGAAGACCAUAAGCAGGAUAGGGAAUAGGUUUGCACAUCUCUUGCCUGAAUCACUGAAUUUUUACAAAAGAUGUAACUUCAUACCCACACUUUGAUGAGACUUUACUUGUAUUAACCCAUUUUCAUACUGCUAUGAAGAAAUACCCAAGACUGCAUAAUUUCUAAAGAAAAAGGCUUAGUGGACUCACAGUUCCACAUGGCUGGGGAAGCCUCACAAUCAUGGUAGAAGAUGAAGAAGGAGCAAAGGCACAUCUUACAUGGCAGCAGGUGAGAGAGCAUGUGCAGAGGAACUACCCUUUAUAAAACCAUCAGAGGCCAGGUGCAGUGGCUCACACCUGUAAUCCUAGCACUUUGGGAGGCCGAGGCAGGCAGAUCAUCUGAGGUCAGGCAUUCAAGACCAGCCUGGCCAACAUGGCAAAACCCCAUGUUUCAAAAUUAGCUCAGUGUGGGGGCACAUGCCUGUAAUACCAGCUACUAGGGAGGCUGAGGCAGGAGAAUCGCUUGAACCUGGGAGGCAGAGGUUGCAGUGAGCCAAGAUCACGCUACUGUACUCCAGCCUGGGCAACAGAGCCAGACUUUGUCUCAAAAAAUAAAAUGAAAUAAAAUAAAAAUAAAUAAAUAGAUAGAUAAAUAAAACCAUCAGAGCUCGUGAGAACUCACUACCAUGACAACAUGAGGGUAACUGAUCCCAUAAUUAAAUUACUUCCCAUCAGGUCCCUCCCUUGACACUUGGGGAUUAUGGGAGCUACAAUUCAAGAUGAGAUUUGGGUUGGGACACAGCCAAACCAUAUCAUUCCACCCUGGCCCCUCCAAAAUCUCCUGUCCUCACAUUUCAAAAGCAAUCAUGCCUUACCAGCAGUCCCCCAAAGUCUUAACUCAUUUCAGCAUUAACUCAAAAGUCUACAGUCCAAAGUCUCAUCUGAGACAAGGCAAGUCCCUUCUGCCUAUGAGCUUGUAAAAUCAUAAGCAAGUUAAGUUACUUCCUAAAUACAAUGGGGGUACAAGCAUUGGGUAAAUACACCCAUUCCAAAUGGGAGAAAUAGGCCAAAAUGAAGGGACUACAGGGCCCAUGCAAGUCCAAAAUCCAGCAGGGCAGUCAAAUCUUAAAGCUCCAAAAUGAUCUGCUUUGACUCCGUGUCUCACAUCCAGUUCACGUUGAUACAAGAGGUAGGUUGCCAUGGUCUUGGGCAGCUCUGCCCCUGUGGCUUUGCAAGAUACAGCCUCCUUCCCAGCUGCUUUAACAGGCUGGCAUUGAGUGUCUCUGGCUUUCCCAGGCAUAUGCUGCAAGCUGUUGGUGGAUCUACCAUCCUGGGGUCUGGAGGAUGGUGGCCCUCUUCUCACAGCUCCACUAGGCACUGCCCCAGUGGGGACUCUGUGUGGGGGAUCCCACCCCACAUUUCCCUUCUGCAUUGCCCUUCUGCCUUAGCAGAGGUCGUGCAUGAGGGCCCUGCCCCUGCAGCACACCUCUGCCUGAACAUCCGGGUGUUUCCAUACAUCCUCUGAAAUCUAGGCAGGGUUCCCAAACCUCAAUUCUUGACUUCCGUGCACCCACAGUCCCAAUAUCACAUGUGAGCAGCCUGAGACUGCACAAAGCAGCAAGGCCCUGGGCCCAGCCCAUAAACCCAUUUUUCCUCCUUGGCCUCCUGGCUUGUGAUGAGAGGGACUUCCAGGAAGACCUCUUACAUGCCCUGGAGACAUUUUUCCCAUUGUCGUGGUAAUUAACAUGUGGCUUCUUGUUACUUAUGCAAAUUUCUGCAGCAGGCUUGAAUUUCUCCGCAAAAAAUGGGUUUUUCUUUUCUAUCACGUCAUCAGGCUGCAAGUUUUCCUUUUAUGCUCUGCUUCCUCUUGAACGCUUUGCCACUUAGAAAUUUCUUCCCUCAGGUACCCUAAAUCAUCUCUCUAAAGUUCAAAGUUCCACAGAUAACUAGGGCAGGGGCAAAAUGCCACCAGUCUCUUUGCUAAAGCAUAGCAAGAGUGACCUUUAUUCCAUUUCCCAACAAGUUCCUCAUCUCCAUCUGAGACCACCUCAGCCUGGACUUCUUUGUCCGUAUCCCUAUUAGCCUUCUGAUCAAAGCCAUUCAACAAGUCUCUAGGAAGUUCCAAACUUUCCUACAUCUUUCUGUCUUCUGAGCCCUCCAAGUCUCUAGGAAGUUCCAGAGUUUCCCACAUUUUCCUGUCUUCUUCUGAGCCCUCCAAACUGUUCCAACCUCUGCCUGUUACCCUGUUCCAAAGUUGCUUCAACAUUUUCUGUUAACCUUAUAGCAGAGCCCCACUACCUCAGUUCCAAUUUACUGUAUUAGUCCAUUUUCAUACUACUGUGAAGAAAUAGCCAAGACUGGGUAAUUUAUAAAGAAAAAGAGGUUCAGUGGACUCACAGUUCCACAUGGCUGGGGAGGCCUCACAAUCGUGACAGAAGGCAAAGGAGGAGCAAAGACACAUCUUACCUGGCAGCAAGGCAAGAGAGAGAGCAUGUGCGGAGGAACUGCCCUUUAUGAAACCAUCAGAUUUCCUGAGAUUUAUUCACUAUCAUGAGACCAGCAGGGGAAAAACUUGCCCCCAUGAUUAAAUUACUUCCCACCGGGUCCUACCAUUGACACAUGGGGAUUAUGGGAGCUACAAUUCAAGAUGAGAUUUGAGUGGGGACACAGCCAAACCAUGUCAUUAAUGUAAUUUCUGAGCACAUUUGAUGUAACUUCUUAACACAUGCAGAGCAACCACCACCUAUGUUUAAGCUAUGGGGUGAAUCAAUGCUUUGCAGCAAUAUAACAAACUCUUUGAAAGAUUCUCCCAGGUUGCAGUACUCAGUAGGACUUCUGAAUAAAAUUAACUUUAAUUAUUUAAAAGCCUGUUUUUUUUUCUUUAGUUGACAUAACAUACCAGGAUAUUGUAGCUGGAAAUACAUAGGAGGUUCUUGCUCUCACGAACCUUACAUUCCAGUAAGGAAAACAGACAAUAAGAAAAAAGAAAAAUGAAUACAAUAAAUUCUCAUGGUGAUACAAAUAAGGUAAGAUGACAGAAACUGAAGGGAGAGGGAGACACUACUUCAGUGAGGUGGUCAGUGAAAACCUCUCUGCAAAGGUGGUGUGAAAUCUGAGACCUGAAUGACAAGAAAGAACUAGCGAUGCAAACAUCUGCGGGUGGCACAUUUCUAAUAUUUAUUUUUUACUAGUUUUAUUUUGUGUUAAUUUUACGUUUAACUAUCUGGAAUAUAUUUUGGUACAGGAGUCCCCCUUAUCCAAGGGGGAUAUGUAUCAAGCCCCCCAGUGGAUACCUGAAAUCACAGAUAGCGCUGAACCCUAUAUGUACUGUUUUUUCCUACAUAUAUGUAUCUAUGAUAAAGUUUAAUUUAUAAAUUAGGCAUAGUAAGAUAUUUACAAAAAUAAUAAUAAAAUUGAACAGUUAUAACAAUAUACUGUAUAAAUCUUAUGUGAAUGUGAUCUCUCUCUCUCUCAAAAUCUGCCAUACUUACCUAUUGCCAGACCACAGUUGACCAUGGCUAACUGAAAUCAUGGAAAGCAAAACCACAAAUAGGGAGGGCUACUGUAUGUUCUAUAAGAUAAUAUGUGAAUUGUCUAUUGCUACAUAACAAACCACCCAAAACUUUGUGAUGUGUCCAAGCCCAAGGAUGCAAGGUUUCCAAGCUUCCAGAUCCCAAGGAUACCAGGAAACAGGAUUCCCAGGAGGCCAUUGCUAUAAUGAUCUACCACUAUUUUUACCAAAACUGGUAUUUGUAUUAGGCUGUUCUCCCAUUGCUGUAAAGAAAUACCUGAGACUGGCUAAUUUGUAAAGAAAAGAGGUUCCAUAGGCUGUACAGGAAGCAUGAUGCUAGCAUCUUCUCAGCUUCUGGGGAAGCCUCAGGAAACUUACAAUCAUGGUGGAGGGCAAAGUGGGAGUCAGUACGUCACAUGGCCAGAGCAGUGAGAGAGGAGGGAGGUGAUACACACUUUUUAAAUGGCCAGAUGUCAGGAGAACUCACUAUCCUGAGGACAGUACCAAGGGAGAUGCUGCUAAACCAUUCAUGAGUAAUCCACUCAUCCACCACCACGAUCCAAUCACCUCCCACAAGGCCCCACCUCCAAUAUUGGGGAUCACAACCCCACAUGAGAUUUGGGUGGGGACACAGAUUCUGUAUCAGUGUUGUUAUUCAAAAAAUUUUGUACAUAGUCCUUACCUUUCCCAUUUCCUUGUGAUAUUCCUUUAUGAAAUUGUUAGAAGAAAUAGAAUAUUUCAGCUGGGUGCAGCCGGUAAUCCCAGCACUUUGGGAGGCUGAAGCGGGUGGACCAUAUGAGACCAGGAGUUCUGAGAUCAGCCUGGCCAACAUGGCGAAACCCCAUCUCUACUAAAAAUACAAAAAUUAGCUGGGCGUGGUGGUACAUGCCUAAAAUACCAGCUACUUGGGAGGCUGAGGCACGAGAAUUGUUUGAACCUGGGAGACAGAGGUUGCAGUGAGCCAAGAUCGCACCACCGCACUCCAACCUGGGCAACAGAGCGAAACUGUCUCAAAAAAAAGAAAAAGGCGGUAUUUCUAGGUAUUCUGUUCCUUCUACACAACUAUUUUGAGGCCAGUGCCAUGUUAAUUAUUGUUGCUUUUAAUAUGUCCUAAUAUUUAACCAUUAGGGCUAACCAUUUUGCUAUUUCAUUUUUCACAAAAUUAUUGAUUUCACCUGAAAAUUUUCUAACCAAAUUUUACACAAAUUUGUUCAAGUUAAAAGAAAUGCUACUUGGAUUUUUAGUGGGAUUAUACAAAAUCUAUUAAUAAGUUUAAUAGAAACUGACAUCUUUAUAUUUACUCUUCUCAUCUGAGAACAUGGAGAUCUAUUUAUUUGAGAGAUUUUAAAAAAUUAUUUUUGGCCAGGCACAGUGGCUCACGCCUGUAAUCCCAGCACUUUGGGAGGCUGAGGUGGGCAGAUUGCCUGAAGUCAGGAGUUCGAGACCAGACUGGCCAACAUGGUGAAACCCCAUCUCUACUAAAAAUACAAAAAAUUAGCUGGGCGUGGUGGUGUGCACCUGUAGUCCCAGCUACUCAGGAUGCUGAGGCAGGAGAAUUGCUUGAAUCCGGGAGGCGGAGGCUGCAGUAAGCCAAGAUUGCGCCACUGCACUCCAGCCUGGCGACAGAAUGAGACUCCAUCUCAAAAAAAAAAUUAUUUUCAGUAAAACUUUAAGCCAC
This 6571-nucleotide long non-coding RNA is filed under the name Homo sapiens (human). RNAcentral's name for it is "non-protein coding lnc-AK5-1:11". The record is from RNAcentral. Lineage: Eukaryota; Metazoa; Chordata; Mammalia; Primates; Hominidae.